UGAAUACGAGAUGCUACGGCGUUGAAGUAGUUUAUGUCAUACUUCCAAGAAAAGCUUGCACUGUCACAAACAAAGAAUGCCUGUACCAUAACCGAUACAGGUGGGUAGGUAGAGUAUACUAAGGGGCGCGAGAUAACUCUCUCUAAGGAACUCGGCAAAAUGACUCCGUAACUUCGGGAGAAGGAGUGCCUUAUUUUUAAGGUUGCAAUAACAAGAUCCAAGCAACUGUUUACCAAAAACACAGGUCUCCGCUAAGUCGUAAGACGAUGUAUGGGGGCUGACGCCUGCCCAGUGCCAGAAGGUUAAAGAAGUCGGUUAGUAUUCGCGAAGCUGAGAACUGAAGCCCUGGUGAACGGCGGCCGUAACAAUAACGGUCCUAAGGUAGCGAAAUUCCUUGUCGGGUAAGUUUUGACCCGUACGAAAGGUGUAAUGAUUUGGAUACUGUCUCGGAGAGGGGCUCGGUGAAAUAGACUUGUCUGUGAAGAUGCGGACUACCUGCACCUGGACAGAAAGACCCUAUGAAGCUUUACUGUAACUCGAGAUUGAAAUUGGACUUUAUUUGCGCAGUAUAGGUGGGAGGCGUUGAGAAUAAUCUUGCGGGAUUAUUGGAGCCAUCAGUGAGAUACCACUCUUGUAAUGUUAGAUUUCUAACUUUGUAUCAUUCUCUGGUCAAAGAACAGUUUCAGGCGGGCAGUUUGACUGGGGCGGUCGCCUCCCAAAGGGUAACGGAGGCGCACAAAGGUUUCCUCUGAACGGGUAGAAAUCGUAUCUAGAGUGUAAAGGCAUAAGGAAGCUUGACUGUGAGACCUACAAGUCGAGCAGGGACGAAAGUCGGUCUUAGUGAUCUGACGGUGCUGAGUGGAAAGGCCGUCACUCAACGGAUAAAAGUUACUCUAAGGAUAACAGGCUGAUCUCCCCCAAGAGUUCACAUCGACGGGGAGGUUUGGCACCUCGAUGUCGGCUCAUCGCAUCCUGGGGCGGUAGUACGUCCCAAGGGUUGGGCUGUUCGCCCAUGAAAGCGGCACGCGAGCUGGGUUCAGAACGUCGUGAGACAGUUCGGUCCAUAUCCGGUGUAGGCGUUAGAAUAUUGAGAGGAGCCUUCUCUAGUAUGAGAGGAUUGAGAAGGACAUACCUCUGGUGUACCAGUUAUUGUGUUAACGGUAAAUGCUGGGUAGCUAUGUAUGGAGUGGAUAACCGCUGAAAGCAUCUAAGUGGGAAGCCCACCUCAAGAUAAGUAUUCC
This 1241-nucleotide ribosomal RNA is filed under the name metagenome. Its description in RNAcentral is "bacterial LSU rRNA". It matches the Rfam family "Bacterial large subunit ribosomal RNA", at positions 1564 to 2814 of the family's 2925-position model. The record is from RNAcentral.